Lutra lutra (Eurasian river otter) is the source of this 1385-nucleotide long non-coding RNA. RefSeq lists it as uncharacterized. The record is from RefSeq and is a predicted model, not a curated record. The transcript has 4 exons. NCBI's taxonomy places the organism in Eukaryota, Metazoa, Chordata, Mammalia, Carnivora, Mustelidae.
CUCACCACUGGUCCCCACAAAGACAGGACUCAGAGACAGCUGCCUAUUACCACAAGCCCCACUGGGUAGCACUAAGAUUUUAUUCUGACUCCAGUAGAAGGGGAUCUUCAUUGGGAUUCCAAAGGAGGCCUCAGCUUCCUGACCUGUAGAAUGAGGACAAUAAACCUUUCCUACAGAGAAUCCAUGAAUACUUCAACUAUAAAGGAGCCAUUCCAGGGAACCGCACUGCAGUGAGUUGUCAAGCCUCCCCAGCCUCCUCGGGAGGCCUGGUUCUCAUUCCUGAAGUUGGAUGAAUUGACUGGAAGCUCAGGAAGGAGGUUUCUCUUCAGGAAAGAAAUGGAAGGAUACAAGGGGGAGAAAUGGAAGCCCAUUUCCUGAGUUCUUAGAAUGAUGAUUAUUCCAUAAGAACACACUGAGCUAUCAAAGCUGGAAGGCCCCAGUGAAAACCACAAUGAACCUUCUCAGUAAGCUCAUGAGUGAUUGCACUGAAUGGUUUUCAUUUGGUAGAUGAGGGAACUGAAACCGAAAGAAGUUAAAUAAUUUGCCCAGAGACCCUCAGCCAAUAUCUUCAGGGUUUGAGAUUUAACUCAGGCAUAUUUAUUGCUUUGGAUUCUUAGUCGGAAACAAUAGAACCCAAUAUUGGUUAGUUUAAACAAGGAAGUAAUUUCAUAAAGGAUAUUGAGUGGGCCUGGCAAACCAGGCAUGGAACAAUAUCCUAAAUUAUGCCACUGAAUUAGUUCAGCAGCUUAUACUGCUAAUGUCACCUGCAGGUUGCUCAUGCUAGAACUUUUUCCCACUGCAGCUUCCAGGAGCUGGAUGUAGCUGCCACCACUCUUGUUUAAACCAAUUCCUCCUGGUGCCACUUCCCCUGCAUGAAAUAGUUUACAGAGGCUUCUCAUAGUCCGAACCCAAGUUAUGUGCCUGCAACUUAGCCACAAGGGCAUUCAAGAAAGUGAAUAUAUGGCUUCUACAGAGGGAAGAAAUUUCUUUAUCCUAUUAAGGUGGGGGAAAAUCUCCAACAUGGCUAAGUGUUCCACAAUACUGGGGGUGUAGAGACUUUGCUUGUUCUUAGCUGAAUUCCCAGUGCUCUGAACACUGCUUAGCCACAUAGUAGAUGUUAUGGACUGAAUGUUUACAUCCUCCUCUAAAUUCAUAUGUUGAAGCCCUAACCCCCAGUGUGAUGGCAUUUGGGAGGUAAUUACGUAUAGAAGAGGUCCUUAGGAUGGGGCAUCCAUGAUGGGAUCAGUGCUUGUAUAAGAGGAAGAGACACCAGGGCUCUCUCCCUUCACCAUGAGAGGACACAGCAAGAAGGAAGCCAUCUGCAAACCAGAAAGUGGGUUCUCACCAGGAGUUGAAUCAGCUGGCACCUUGAACUUGGAGUGUCC